UUGUCCGGAUUUACUGGGUGUAAAGGGCGUGCAGCCGGGAAUGCAAGUCAGAUGUGAAAUCCAUGGGCUUAACCCAUGAACUGCAUUUGAAACUGUAUUUCUUGAGUACUGGAGAGGCAAUCGGAAUUCCUAGUGUAGCGGUGAAAUGCGUAGAUAUUAGGAGGAACACCAGUGGCGAAGGCGGAUUGCUGGACAGCAACUGACGGUGAGGCGCGAAAGUGUGGGGAGCAAACAGGAUUAGAUACCCUGGUAGUCCACACUGUAAACGAUGAAUACUAGGUGUGCGGGGACUGACCCCCUGCGUGCCGCAGUUAACACAAUAAGUAUUCCACCUGGGGAGUACGAUCGCAAGGUUGAAACUCAAAGGAAUUGACGGGGGCCCGCACAAGCGGUGGAUUAUGUGGUUUAA
This 409-nucleotide ribosomal RNA is filed under the name uncultured bacterium. RNAcentral's name for it is "bacterial SSU rRNA". It matches the Rfam family "Bacterial small subunit ribosomal RNA", at positions 541 to 949 of the family's 1533-position model. The record is from RNAcentral.